CACGUAGGGUGCGAGCGUUGUCCGGAAUUAUUGGGCGUAAAGAGCUCGUAGGCGGUGUGUCGCGUCGGCCGUGAAAACCUGCAGCUUAACUGUGGGCGUGCGGUCGAUACGGGCAUCACUGGAGUUCGGCAGGGGAGACUGGAAUUCCUGGUGUAGCGGUGAAAUGCGUAGAUAUCUGGAGGAACACCGGUGGCGAAGGCGGCAUCCUGGACCAAUACUGACACUGAGGAGCGAAAGCCAGGGGAGCAAACGGG
RNAcentral lists this ribosomal RNA (254 nucleotides) under uncultured bacterium. RNAcentral's name for it is "partial 16S ribosomal RNA". It matches the Rfam family "Bacterial small subunit ribosomal RNA", at positions 524 to 776 of the family's 1533-position model. The record is from RNAcentral.